This 70-nucleotide transfer RNA is filed under the name Loxodonta africana (African savanna elephant). It matches the Rfam family "tRNA". Rfam says of the family: Transfer RNA (tRNA) molecules are approximately 80 nucleotides in length. Their secondary structure includes four short double-helical elements and three loops (D, anti-codon, and T loops). Lineage: Eukaryota; Metazoa; Chordata; Mammalia; Proboscidea; Elephantidae. The record is from Rfam by way of RNAcentral.
GCACUGGUAAUUCAGUGGUAGAACUCUGGGCUUCCACACAGGAGACCUGGGUUCGAGCCUGGCCAAUGCC